GGUUCGAUUCUCAGCUCAGAUUGAGCGCUGGCGGAUGCUUUUUGCACACAUGCAAGUCGAACGGCGGCACGGACUUCGGUCUGGUGGCGAGUGGCGAACAGGUGAGUAAUGUAUCGGAACGUGCUAAUGGCGGGGAUAACUGCAUGACGUAACUAAAGCCUGCGCAUACGCCCUUCGAGGGAAAGCGGGGACCUUCGGGCCUCGCACUAUGAAACGGCCGAUAUCCAGGUUAUUUAGUUCUUGGUGGGAAGUAACGGCUCACCAAGGCGACGAUCCGUAGCUGGUUUGAGAGGACGACCAGCCACACUGGGACUGAGACACGGCCCAGACUCCUACGGGAGGCAGCAGUGGGAAUUUUGGACAAUGGGGAAACCCUGAUCCAGCCAUCCCGCGUGUGCGAUGAAGGCCUUCGGGUUGUAAAGCUUGCUUUUGGCGGAAAAAGAAGCGGCACGGGAUAAUACCCGGCCGCAACUGUUGGGCUACCUGCAGAAUAAACACCAGUAACUCCGUGCCCAGCAGCGCGGUAGCCGUAGGGUGCAAGCGGUAAUCGGAAUUACUGGGCGUAAAGCGUGCGCAGGCGGUUCGGAAAGAAAGAUGUGAAAUCCCAGAGCUUAACUUUGGAACUGCAUUUUAACUACCGAGCUAGAGUGCGUCAGAGGAGGUGGAAUUCCGCGUGUAGCAGUGAAAUGCGUAGAUAUGCGGAGAACUUUGAUAGCGAAGGCAGCCUCCUGGAAUAACUACUGACGCUCGUGCGAAAGCGUAAGGGCAAACAGAGAUUAGAUACCUGACUGAUCCACGCCUAAACGAUGUCAACAAGCUGUUGGGGCCUUCGGGCCUUGGUAGCGCAGCUAACGCGUGAAGUUGACCGCCUGGGGAGUACGGUCGCAAGAUUAAAACUCAAAGGAAUUGACGGGGACCCGCACAAGCGGUGGAUGUGGAUUAAUUCGAUGCAACAUGAAAAACCUACCUACCCUUGACAUGUCUCGGAAUCCCGAAGAGAUUUGCAGGAGUGCUCGCAAGAGAACCGGAACUGGUGCUGCACUGGCUGUCGUCAGCUCGUGUCGUGAGAUGUUGGGUUAAGUCCCGCAACGAGCGCAACCCUUGUCAUUAAGAUUGCUGAAAGGGCACUCUAAUGAGACUGCCGGUGACAAACCGGAGGAAGGUGGGGAUGACGUCAAGUCCUCUGUGACCCUUAUGGGUAGGGCUUCACACGUCAUACAAUGGAGUCAUAGACGAAGGGGUCGCCAACCCGCGAGGAGCAAUCGAAACCCGAUCGUGAUCCGGAUCACAGUCUGCAACUCGACUGCGUGAAAUUAGGAAUCGCCAGUAAUCGCGGAUCAGCAUGUCGCGGUGAAUACGUUCGGGUCUUGUACACACCGCCCGUCACACCAUGGGAGUGGGUUUUACCAAGAAGUAGUUAGCCUAACCGUAAGGAGGAGGGCGAUUACCACGGUAGGAUUCAUGACUGGGGUGAAGUCGUAACAAGGUAA
Molecule: ribosomal RNA, 1490 nt
Filed under: uncultured Bordetella sp.
Lineage: Bacteria; Pseudomonadati; Pseudomonadota; Betaproteobacteria; Burkholderiales; Alcaligenaceae
Description: partial 16S-23S ribosomal RNA intergenic spacer
Rfam family: Bacterial small subunit ribosomal RNA
Source: RNAcentral